AUUGAACGCUGGCGGCAGGCUUAACACAUGCAAGUCGAGCGGAGAUGAGGUGCUUGCACCUUAUCUUAGCGGCGGACGGGUGAGUAAUGCUUAGGAAUCUGCCUAUUAGUGGGGGACAACAUUCCGAAAGGAAUGCUAAUACCGCAUACGUCCUACGGGAGAAAGCAGGGGAUCUUCGGACCUUGCGCUAAUAGAUGAGCCUAAGUCGGAAUAGCUAGUUGGUGGGGUAAAGGCCUACCAAGGCGACGAUCUGUAGCGGGUCUGAGAGGAUGAUCCGCCACACUGGGACUGAGACAUGGCCCAGACUCCGACGGGAGGCAUCAGUGGGGAAUAGUGAACAAUGUGGGUAAUCCUGAUCCAGCCAUGCCGCGUGUGUGAAGAAGGCCUUAUGGUUGUAAAGCACUUUAAGCGAGGAGGAGGCUACUGAGACUAAUACUCUUGGAUAGUGGACGUUACUCGCAGAAUAAGCACCGGCUAACUCUGUGCCAGCCGCCGCCGUAA
Molecule: ribosomal RNA, 501 nt
Filed under: uncultured bacterium
Lineage: Bacteria
Description: partial 16S ribosomal RNA
Rfam family: Bacterial small subunit ribosomal RNA
Source: RNAcentral